RNAcentral lists this ribosomal RNA (347 nucleotides) under uncultured soil bacterium. RNAcentral describes it as "bacterial SSU rRNA". It matches the Rfam family "Bacterial small subunit ribosomal RNA", at positions 26 to 377 of the family's 1533-position model. The record is from RNAcentral.
AGGACAAACGCUGGCGGCGUGCUUAACACAUGCAAGUCGAACGGUUCACCUUCGGGUGAAUAGUGGCGGACGGGUGAGUAACACGUAGUUAACCUACCGUUUAGUGGGGAAUAACCCCUCGAAAGAGGAGCUAAUACCGCAUAAGCUCUCACCUGUUAGGGAGAGAGGAAACCUCGGUUCAUACCUGGGGACUAAAUGAUGGGACUGCGGCGGAUUAGCUAGAUGGUGGGUAAAGCCUACAUGGCGACGAUCCGUAGCUGGUCUGAGAGGACGACCAGCCACACUGGGACUGAGACACGGCCCAGACUCCUACGGGAGCAGCAGUGAGGAAUAUUCCAUAAAUGGGG